This 502-nucleotide ribosomal RNA is filed under the name uncultured bacterium. RNAcentral's name for it is "bacterial SSU rRNA". It matches the Rfam family "Bacterial small subunit ribosomal RNA", at positions 8 to 518 of the family's 1533-position model. The record is from RNAcentral.
AGAGUUUGAUCAUGGCUCAGGAUGAACGCUGGCGGCGUGCUUAACACAUGCAAGUCGAACGGAGCCUAGCGAGUGCUUGCACUUGCGAAAGCUUAGUGGCGGACGGGUGAGUAACGCGUGGGUAACCUGCCCUAUACUGGGGGAUAACAGUUGGAAACGACUGCUAAUACCGCAUAAGCCUACGGUGUCGCAUGACACAGUAGGAAAAACUCCGGUGGUAUAGGAUGGACCCGCGUCUGAUUAGCUAGUUGGUGAGGUAACGGCCCACCAAGGCGACGAUCAGUAGCCGGCCUGAGAGGGUGAACGGCCACAUUGGGACUGAGACACGGCCCAAACUCCUACGGGAGGCAGCAGUGGGGAAUAUUGCACAAUGGGGGAAACCCUGAUGCAGCGAACCGCCGCGUGAGCGAAGAAGUAUUUCGGUAUGUAAAGCUCUAUCAGCAGGGAAGAUAAUGACGGUACCUGACUAAGAAGCACCGGCUAAAUACGUGCCAGCCGCAGC